This 737-nucleotide long non-coding RNA is filed under the name Anas platyrhynchos platyrhynchos (common mallard). Its description in RNAcentral is "lncRNA (ENSAPLG00000019033.1)". The record is from RNAcentral. Lineage: Eukaryota; Metazoa; Chordata; Aves; Anseriformes; Anatidae.
CCCUUUUCUGACUUUUUACCGUGUCCUUGUGUUAUUAUUGUUGUCUCUGCGAAGACUAAAUAGUAUCAGAACCCAGGAAACUCUCUUGCUUUCUAAUUCAUUGAGGUUUGUCUUUGCCCUAGCUCUUUUUGGUGAUGUCUUAGUGUAUUCUUGUGCUGCUGGCUUCCCCUCAUUAUGUUUCUCAGUCAGCAUGCUUCACAAUGGAUCCAGAAACCUUCUCAAGCCAAGCCUACUCAGUUCUUCUCACGGAAAGCACACAUACUCAUCUGCCCAGACUCCAGCCCAGUGUGCAGAGGAAAGGAUCAGGCAGCCUGAUUUUCUGCUGCUUAUUUGGACCUGUGGAUGCUUUUCUGAGGGAAGCUAAGAAACAAUCUUCAAAUUACUGUCAAAAAUCCAGGUACAGGAAGGCUGCUGUGAGAUCUCCCUGGAGCCUUCUCUUCCUCAAGCUGAAUAAACCAAAUUCUCUCAGCCUGUGGGAGAGGUGUUUCAGCCCUUUGAUCAUCCUCAUGAUCCUUGCUAACGGUGAAAUACAAUGGUAUGUGAAUAUCUCUUAGAAAGAAGAUUACUGUGGAAAUUAUGAAAGGCAAGAGACAUAGAAGAGGCAGAAGUAUGAAAAGAGUGUACAACUGCUAUUUAAUACUGCAAAUGAUGGUAAAAGACAGAGUUGGAAAUAGUCAAAUUUAGAAAACGGAAAAUUUAGAAUAGGGAAAGUGAAUAAAGAAUUACAUAAAUGUUCA